UUAAGCAUAUCAAUAAGCGGAGGAAAAGAAACCAACAGGGAUUGCCCUAGUAACGGCGAGUGAAGCGGCAACAGCUCAAAUUUGAAAUCUGGCCCUCUCAGGGUCCGAGUUGUAAUUUGCAGAGGGUGCUUUGGCGUUGGCUGUGGUCUAAGUUCCUUGGAACAGGACGUCGCAGAGGGUGAGAAUCCCGUAUGUGGCCGCCAGCCUUCGCCGUGUAAAGCCCCUUCGACGAGUCGAGUUGUUUGGGAAUGCAGCUCUAAAUGGGAGGUAAAUUUCUUCUAAAGCUAAAUAUUGGCCAGAGACCGAUAGCGCACAAGUAGAGUGAUCGAAAGAUGAAAAGCACUUUGGAAAGAGAGUCAAAAAGCACGUGAAAUUGUUGAAAGGGAAGCGCUUGCAGUCAGACUUGCCUGUAGUUGCUCAUCCGCGCUCUUGCGCGGUGCACUCUUCUGCAGGCAGGCCAGCAUCAGUCCGGGCGGUAGGAUAAAGGCCUGCUAAACGUACCUCUCCUCGGGGAGGACUUAUAGGGUAGGUGCCAUACUGCCAGCCUGGAUUGAGGUCCGCGCAUCUGCUAGGAUGCUGGCGUAAUGGCUGUAAGCGGCCCGUCUUGAAACACGGACCAAGGAGUCUAACAUCUAUGCGAGUGUUUGGGUGUCAAGCCCGAGCGCGCAAUGAAAGUGAACGGAGGUGGGAACCCUCACGGGUGCACCAUCGACCGAUCCUGAUGUCUUCGGAUGGAUUUGAGUAAGAGCAUAGCUGUUGGGACCCGAAAGAUGGUGAACUAUGCCUGAAUAGGGUGAAGCCAGAGGAAACUCUGGUGGAGGCUCGCAGCGGUUCUGACGUGCAAAUCGAUCGUCAAAUUUGGGCAUAGGGGCGAAAGACUAAU
This 883-nucleotide non-coding RNA is filed under the name Sublophiostoma thailandicum. RNAcentral's name for it is "Sublophiostoma thailandica partial 28S ribosomal RNA". It matches the Rfam family "Eukaryotic large subunit ribosomal RNA", at positions 34 to 935 of the family's 3401-position model. The record is from RNAcentral. Lineage: Eukaryota; Fungi; Ascomycota; Dothideomycetes; Pleosporales.